AGAUUUGUGCCACGGCAGUAUCGUAGCCAAUGAAGUUUAUCCAAGGUGCGAUUAUUGCUAAAAGAAUUGUUGCAAAUGUUUUAAAUAACAAAACUGGCAUAAUGUUUGUAUACUACUUGGCAUCUCCCUUUCUCCAUGUUG
RNAcentral lists this small nuclear RNA (141 nucleotides) under Choloepus hoffmanni (Hoffmann's two-fingered sloth). RNAcentral's name for it is "U4 spliceosomal RNA (ENSCHOG00000016086.1)". Lineage: Eukaryota; Metazoa; Chordata; Mammalia; Pilosa; Megalonychidae. The record is from RNAcentral.